Molecule: long non-coding RNA, 502 nt
Organism: Solanum dulcamara
Lineage: Eukaryota; Viridiplantae; Streptophyta; Magnoliopsida; Solanales; Solanaceae
Exons: 2
Source: RefSeq, a predicted model, not a curated record
AACACUUUUGUUAUAUAUUAAGGUAACGCCCGACCCAUUAACCCAAGUCCAUCCCUUUUAAAGACAUUUUUGAUUUUGUGAAGCAUGAGUGAGGUUGAGCGACAGCAACUACUGACCGACGAUGGCGAAGGCGACAGAUUCUCAUUAUCUCAGGAUUAAUCUGAAGAGAAAAUGAAGAAAUUUGAAGCCAAAAUGAAUUAAAAAUAAAAGAUUGAAGAAGGAAAUCAAGCAGCCAGAUUAAUGGAUUAAAUUAAAUAUUAUACUAUUAUUUAUGUAUGUAUGAUGCAAAGCGAAAAAAAAAAGAUGUGAAUUUUGAGUUACUGCCACGUGACAGUCAUCAGAGCAACAACAAAUUGAAGUGGCGCACAUGCAGUAACCAAUUUUUUUUUGGGUUUUGGUUUCUCAAUUAGUUUUGGACUCAGCUAUUUUAUUUGGGUUUUUUUCCUACACCUAUAAAUAUUCCAUAAAAUUAGUUUUGAGAAAAUUAACUUUUAACUUUUGA